RNAcentral lists this ribosomal RNA (859 nucleotides) under Dothiorella plurivora. RNAcentral's name for it is "eukaryotic LSU rRNA". It matches the Rfam family "Eukaryotic large subunit ribosomal RNA", at positions 70 to 947 of the family's 3401-position model. Lineage: Eukaryota; Fungi; Ascomycota; Dothideomycetes; Botryosphaeriales; Botryosphaeriaceae. The record is from RNAcentral.
UGGGAUUGCCUUAGUAACGGCGAGUGAAGCGGCAAUAGCUCAAAUUUGAAAGCUGGCCCCUUUGGGGUCCGCGUUGUAAUUUGUAGAGGAUGAUUCGGCGAGGGCUCCCGUCUAAGUCCCCUGGAACGGGGCGUCAUAGAGGGUGAGAAUCCCGUAUGUGAUGGGUUGCCUUAGCCAUGUGAAUCUCCUUCGACGAGUCGAGUUGUUUGGGAAUGCAGCUCUAAAUGGGAGGUAAAUUUCUUCUAAAGCUAAAUACCGGCCAGAGACCGAUAGCGCACAAGUAGAGUGAUCGAAAGAUGAAAAGCACUUUGGAAAGAGAGUUAAAAAGUACGUGAAAUUGUUGAAAGGGAAGCGCUUGCAGCCAGACUUGUCCGCAGUUGCUCAGCCGGUCUCCUGACCGGCGUACUCUUCUGCGGCCAGGCCAGCAUCAGUUCGGGCGGUCGGAUAAAGACCCCAGGAAUGUAGCUCCUCUCGGGGAGUGUUAUAGCCUGGGGUGGAAUGCGGCCAGCCUGGACUGAGGAUCUCGCUUCGGCUAGGAUGCUGGCGUAAUGGCUGUAAGCGGCCCGUCUUGAAACACGGACCAAGGAGUCUAACAUCUAUGCGAGUGUUUGGGUGUCAAACCCAUACGCGUAAUGAAAGUGAACGGAGGUGGGAACCCUCACGGGUGCACCAUCGACCGAUCCUGAUGUCUUCGGAUGGAUUUGAGUAAGAGCAUAGCUGUUGGGACCCGAAAGAUGGUGAACUAUGCCUGAAUAGGGUGAAGCCAGAGGAAACUCUGGUGGAGGCUCGCAGCGGUUCUGACGUGCAAAUCGAUCGUCAAAUUUGGGUAUAGGGGCGAAAGACUAAUCGAACCAUCUAG